Crotalus tigris (Tiger rattlesnake) is the source of this 328-nucleotide long non-coding RNA. RefSeq lists it as uncharacterized. NCBI's taxonomy places the organism in Eukaryota, Metazoa, Chordata, Lepidosauria, Squamata, Viperidae. The transcript is spliced from 3 exons. The record is from RefSeq and is a predicted model, not a curated record.
AGUCAUACCAGUUUGGACCCAAGGUUUAUAUUCUGUUUGGAGAUAUGCCCGGAGAUGGAUUCUUUUUCUAAUUCUGCUGGUUCCAAUUGCCUUUUAUUGCUGGAAGCAAAAGAGCACAUCUCAAUCACAGGAACAAUUUCAACUAAUGGAAAAGAAAGAGAAAAAUCAUCUUUCAGUGAUGGAGCCUCAAGCAGAAACACCCUCAUCAGUCAAGUUUCCCCAGGACUCUGAGGCCACCUACAGCAAUGUUCAGGACUUUUCCACUCAGAAGAAGCAACUUACAGAAGAGGAAGAAGAGGGGCCAUUGUAUAUAAACUUGAUUGCAGGA